RNAcentral lists this ribosomal RNA (1138 nucleotides) under Enterococcus faecium EnGen0126. RNAcentral describes it as "bacterial SSU rRNA". It matches the Rfam family "Bacterial small subunit ribosomal RNA", at positions 8 to 1116 of the family's 1533-position model. Lineage: Bacteria; Bacillati; Bacillota; Bacilli; Lactobacillales; Enterococcaceae. The record is from RNAcentral.
AGAGUUUGAUCCUGGCUCAGGACGAACGCUGGCGGCGUGCCUAAUACAUGCAAGUCGAACGCUUCUUUUUCCACCGGAGCUUGCUCCACCGGAAAAAGAGGAGUGGCGAACGGGUGAGUAACACGUGGGUAACCUGCCCAUCAGAAGGGGAUAACACUUGGAAACAGGUGCUAAUACCGUAUAACAAUCAAAACCGCAUGGUUUUGAUUUGAAAGGCGCUUUCGGGUGUCGCUGAUGGAUGGACCCGCGGUGCAUUAGCUAGUUGGUGAGGUAACGGCUCACCAAGGCCACGAUGCAUAGCCGACCUGAGAGGGUGAUCGGCCACAUUGGGACUGAGACACGGCCCAAACUCCUACGGGAGGCAGCAGUAGGGAAUCUUCGGCAAUGGACGAAAGUCUGACCGAGCAACGCCGCGUGAGUGAAGAAGGUUUUCGGAUCGUAAAACUCUGUUGUUAGAGAAGAACAAGGAUGAGAGUAACUGUUCAUCCCUUGACGGUAUCUAACCAGAAAGCCACGGCUAACUACGUGCCAGCAGCCGCGGUAAUACGUAGGUGGCAAGCGUUGUCCGGAUUUAUUGGGCGUAAAGCGAGCGCAGGCGGUUUCUUAAGUCUGAUGUGAAAGCCCCCGGCUCAACCGGGGAGGGUCAUUGGAAACUGGGAGACUUGAGUGCAGAAGAGGAGAGUGGAAUUCCAUGUGUAGCGGUGAAAUGCGUAGAUAUAUGGAGGAACACCAGUGGCGAAGGCGGCUCUCUGGUCUGUAACUGACGCUGAGGCUCGAAAGCGUGGGGAGCAAACAGGAUUAGAUACCCUGGUAGUCCACGCCGUAAACGAUGAGUGCUAAGUGUUGGAGGGUUUCCGCCCUUCAGUGCUGCAGCUAACGCAUUAAGCACUCCGCCUGGGGAGUACGACCGCAAGGUUGAAACUCAAAGGAAUUGACGGGGGCCCGCACAAGCGGUGGAGCAUGUGGUUUAAUUCGAAGCAACGCGAAGAACCUUACCAGGUCUUGACAUCCUUUGACCACUCUAGAGAUAGAGCUUCCCCUUCGGGGGCAAAGUGACAGGUGGUGCAUGGUUGUCGUCAGCUCGUGUCGUGAGAUGUUGGGUUAAGUCCCGCAACGAGCGCAACCCUUAUUGUUAGUU